UACGGAGGAUGCAAGCGUUAUCCGGAAUGAUUGGGCGUAAAGCGUCCGCAGGUGGCUGUGUAAGUCUGCUGUUAAAGAGUGAGGCUCAACCUCAUAAAAGCAGUGGAAACUACACAGCUAGAGUGCGUUCGGGGCAGAGGGAAUUCCUGGUGUAGCGGUGAAAUGCGUAGAGAUCAGGAAGAACACCGGUGGCGAAGGCGCUCUGCUAGGCCGCAACUGACACUGAGGGACGAAAGCUAGGGGAGCGAAU
Molecule: ribosomal RNA, 250 nt
Filed under: uncultured bacterium
Lineage: Bacteria
Description: partial 16S ribosomal RNA
Rfam family: Bacterial small subunit ribosomal RNA
Source: RNAcentral